This is a non-coding RNA of Triticum aestivum (bread wheat), 135 nucleotides long. The record is from Rfam. NCBI's taxonomy places the organism in Eukaryota, Viridiplantae, Streptophyta, Magnoliopsida, Poales, Poaceae.
CAGGUACUCCCUCCGUCCGAAAAUACUUGUCAUCAAAAUUGAUAAAAAGAGAUGUAUCUAAAACUAAAAUACAUCUAGAUACAUCACCUUCUAUCCAGUUUGAAGACAAGUAUUUACGGACGGAGAGAGUACUGC